GCCACUCAGUGGCAGGGCCAGGACUAGAACCCAGGCCGCCUCUCUAGGACCAGCGUUCUGGACCACCCAGCUAAUGCUGGGAUCCAGGUAUUUCACCUCCUCAGUCGGCUGUUAGGAUGACACCAGGACAACCUUGGAAUCACAAGAUGGUAGAAGAGCCUAGGUAGAAAGACAGAAGGGGUCUGUGUCUCAGGGCAA
This 198-nucleotide long non-coding RNA is filed under the name Callithrix jacchus (white-tufted-ear marmoset). RNAcentral's name for it is "lncRNA (ENSCJAG00000077309.1)". Lineage: Eukaryota; Metazoa; Chordata; Mammalia; Primates; Cebidae. The record is from RNAcentral.